RNAcentral lists this ribosomal RNA (274 nucleotides) under uncultured bacterium. Its description in RNAcentral is "partial 16S ribosomal RNA". It matches the Rfam family "Archaeal small subunit ribosomal RNA", at positions 473 to 747 of the family's 1478-position model. The record is from RNAcentral.
AAACCAGCACCUCAAGUGGUCAGGAUGAUUAUUGGGCCUAAAGCAUCCGUGGCCGGCUCUGUAAGUGUUCGGUUAAAUCUGUACGCUUAACGUACAGGCUGCUGGGAAUACUGCAGGGCUAGGGAGUGGGAGAGGUAGACGGUACUCGGGAGGAAGUGGUAAAAUGCUUUGAUCUCUCGAUGACCACCUGUGGCGAAGGCGGUCUACCAGAACAUGUCCGACGGUGAGGGAUGAAAGCUGGGGGAGCAAACCGGAUUAGAAACCCCAGUAGUCC